RNAcentral lists this ribosomal RNA (488 nucleotides) under uncultured bacterium. RNAcentral describes it as "bacterial SSU rRNA". It matches the Rfam family "Bacterial small subunit ribosomal RNA", at positions 46 to 525 of the family's 1533-position model. The record is from RNAcentral.
GCUAACACAUGCAAGUCGAGCGGUAACAGAGAUAGCUUGCUAUCUGCUGACGACCGGCGGACGGGUGAGUAAUGCUUGGGAAUAUGCCUUUUGGUGGGGGACAACAGUUGGAAACGACUGCUAAUACCGCAUAACGUCUACGGACCAAAGUGGGGGACCUUCGGGCCUCACGCCAAGAGAUUAGCCCAAGUGGGAUUAGCUAGUUGGUGAGGUAAUGGCUCACCAAGGCGACGAUCCCUAGCUGGUUUGAGAGGAUGAUCAGCCACACUGGAACUGAGACACGGUCCAGACUCCUACGGGAGGCAGCAGUGGGGAAUAUUGCACAAUGGGCGCAAGCCUGAUGCAGCCAUGCCGCGUGUGUGAAGAAGGCCUUCGGGUUGUAAAGCACUUUCAGUCAGGAGGAAAGGUUGGUAGUUAAUAGCUACCAGCUGUGACGUUACUGACAGAAGAAGCACCGGCUAACUCCGUGCCAGCAGUCCGCGGUAAUA